This 512-nucleotide ribosomal RNA is filed under the name Stenotrophomonas sp. 13. RNAcentral describes it as "bacterial SSU rRNA". It matches the Rfam family "Bacterial small subunit ribosomal RNA", at positions 380 to 883 of the family's 1533-position model. Lineage: Bacteria; Pseudomonadati; Pseudomonadota; Gammaproteobacteria; Lysobacterales; Lysobacteraceae. The record is from RNAcentral.
AGCCUGAUCCAGCCAUACCGCGUGGGUGAAGAAGGCCUUCGGGUUGUAAAGCCCUUUUGUGGGGAAAGAAAUCCAGCCGGCUAAUACCUGGUUGGGAUGACGGUACCCAAAGAAUAAGCACCGGCUAACUUCGUGCCAGCAGCCGCGGUAAUACGAAGGGUGCAAGCGUUACUCGGAAUUACUGGGCGUAAAGCGUGCGUAGGUGGUCGUUUAAGUCUGUUGUGAAAGCCCUGGGCUCAACCUGGGAACUGCAGUGGAAACUGGACGACUAGAGUGUGGUAGAGGGUAGCGGAAUUCCUGGUGUAGCAGUGAAAUGCGUAGAGAUCAGGAGGAACAUCCAUGGCGAAGGCAGCUACCUGGACCAACACUGACACUGAGGCACGAAAGCGUGGGGAGCAAACAGGAUUAGAUACCCUGGUAGUCCACGCCCUAAACGAUGCGAACUGGAUGUUGGGUGCAAUUUGGCACGCAGUAUCGAAGCUAACGCGUUAAGUUCGCCGCCUGGGGAGUAC